AGUGAACGCUGGUGGUAGGCCUAACACAUGCAAGUCGAACGGCAGCACAGUAAGAGCUUGCUCUUACGGGUGGCGAGUGGCGGACGGGUGAGGAAUACAUCGGAAUCUACUUUUUCGUGGGGGAUAACGUAGGGAAACUUACGCUAAUACCGCAUACGACCUACGGGUGAAAGCAGGGGAUCUUCGGACCUUGCGCGAUUGAAUGAGCCGAUGUCGGAUUAGCUAGUUGGCGGGGUAAAGGCCCACCAAGGCGACGAUCCGUAGCUGGUCUGAGAGGAUGAUUAGCCACACUGGAACUGAGACACGGUCCAGACCCCUACGGGAGGCAGCAGUGGGGAAUAUUGGACAAUGGGCGCAAGCCUGAUCCAGCCAUACCGCGUGGGUGAAGAAGGCCUUCGGGUUGUAAAGCCCUUUUGUUGGGAAAGAAAAGCAGCAGGUUAAUACCCCGCUGUUCUGACGGUACCCAAAGAAUAAGCACCGGCUAACUUCGUG
Molecule: ribosomal RNA, 492 nt
Filed under: uncultured bacterium
Lineage: Bacteria
Description: partial 16S ribosomal RNA
Rfam family: Bacterial small subunit ribosomal RNA
Source: RNAcentral